GAGACCUCACCUAUUCGCCCUCCAACCCCAUUAUCACUAAACCUCAGAGAGAAUCAAAUGUCUGCCCUUAUUCCUAAGUGAAGACACAACAGGCUGCCAUUUUCUGUUCCUUUCCAGAUCGAUGUUGAGGUGCCAGGCAAGGGGAUUCUCUCCAUUCCUGACUCAGCCGGCUCCAUCAAGGUGCCUUCCCUCAACAACUUUAAGUACUGCCAGUCUUUCCAUCCGGAACUCUUCAACAUUGUGCUGUCUGUUUUAGCUCCAAAGGAGCCCCAAGAACUGAGCUGCACCCCAGACAAGUUCCGUGGAGCGGAUGACUUGAGGAACGCCAUUUUGGCUCUUGUCCCUGCUGAGAAACAUGGACAUAUUUUUGCGAUUUCCUUGUACAUCAGGAUUUCCGUGGAGGUGAAUCCAGUGAUUGUUUUUGGACCUGAUGGCAUCGUCAUCUCUGCCGGUCUCAGAGUUGAGUUCUUCCUCAAGAACAAAGAUGGUUCUGUCUAUUCAGUCCUCAUUAUAAGGAGUGAUGUCACCUUGAGUGCUGUGGUAUCCCUGGUGAAAGGAAGACUGAUCUUUGUGGUGUCUGUUUCCAGGUAAAAAGCCAUUCCUUUUAGUCGUCCGUCUUCCAUCCAGGAUCAGAUUUGAGCAAGAAGAGGCAACGGUGUGAAGGUUUCUACAUGAAACCAUCGUAGGAGGACAUUUGUCCU
This 701-nucleotide long non-coding RNA is filed under the name Pogona vitticeps (central bearded dragon). RNAcentral's name for it is "lncRNA (ENSPVIG00000012187.1)". The record is from RNAcentral. Lineage: Eukaryota; Metazoa; Chordata; Lepidosauria; Squamata; Agamidae.